UGCUAUCUAUCUAGGAUCAAGUGUUGAACUCAUAACCCAAAGGUCGGUGGUUCAAAUCCACCCCCCGCAACCA
This 73-nucleotide transfer RNA is filed under the name Acidobacteriota bacterium. Its description in RNAcentral is "Acidobacteria bacterium tRNA-Met". The record is from RNAcentral. Lineage: Bacteria; Pseudomonadati; Acidobacteriota.